Molecule: long non-coding RNA, 684 nt
Filed under: Sorghum bicolor (sorghum)
Lineage: Eukaryota; Viridiplantae; Streptophyta; Magnoliopsida; Poales; Poaceae
Description: long non-coding RNA (SBIC_LNC004986)
Source: RNAcentral
CUCUGUUUGCUUACUUACAAGUACCUAGCUUUUACAUUAGAGUUCUUCCAGGAAUUACUAAAACUGAAUUUACUAUCUUUGGGAAGCAUAAAACUAAAGUCUAGGUAAGAGAAAGGCAUGAUAUAAAGUUGAGCUACUGUUUAUCUUGUUCCUACUACACCAAGUUCUAGAGAUUUAUUUUUGAAAACUUACAAAUCACAUGAUGAGUUCCUAGUAUACAAAACUACCUACCACAGCCAUACUUGCUAUAACAUAUUUUGCUAUAUUUACAUUGAGUUUGAUCGAGCUGUGUAGACCCUUAGGAGCUUUUCAUGUGGUUAAAUUAAGAUAUUCACUUGCACACAUCUACCACAGCAUUCAUCAUCAAUCAUUAAAAUUGCUAAAAAUAUUAUCACUCACUGUUCCGAAUAUUGUUAUUCUCUCUCUCUAAAAAGAUUCAAUGCAGAAGAGGCAUGGGUUAUGCAAAAAUAUACGAGGAAAUAAAAAGGGGCAAGUGCCCGGAACCUCGAAAAAGAAAGAAAAGAAAGUGAGACGAGAGGUAAAAAUGGACAAGUGUCCGAAGUAGAAUUAGGGGUACAAAGAUGCCCACUUGAGCGGAAAAAAUGGACAAGUGUCCGACAGUAGAAUUAGGGGUAUCUACUACCCACCUGAAAAGAGAAAAAAAAGAUAGCCCAUGUUCUCCCA